Molecule: long non-coding RNA, 2294 nt
Filed under: Canis lupus familiaris (dog)
Lineage: Eukaryota; Metazoa; Chordata; Mammalia; Carnivora; Canidae
Description: lncRNA (ENSCAFG00040012339.1)
Source: RNAcentral
AUGGGGCUUCCCAGCAUGCCCCGCUCCGCCCGGACACGCCCCCUCCAGCAAGGACACGCCCCUCCGCCCCGGACACGCCCCCUCCAGCAAGGACACGCCCCUCCGCCCCGGACACGCCCCCUCCAGCAAGGACACGCCCCUCCGCCCCGGACACGCCCCCACCAGCAAGGACACGCCCCUCCGCCCUGGACACGCCCCCUCCAGCAAGGACACGCCCCUCCGCCCCGGGCACGCCCCCUCCGCCCCGGGCACACACGCCCCCUCCAGCCUGGGCACACCCCUCUCCACCCCAGACACGCCCCCUCCGCCCCGGGCACACCCCUCUCCACCCCGGACACGCCCCCUCCAGCCUGGGCACACCCCUCUCCACCCCGGACACGCCCCCCUCCGCCCCGGGCACACCCCUCUCCACCCCGGGCACGCCCCCCUCCGCCCCGGGCACACCCCUCUCCACCCCGGGCACGCCCCCCUCCACCUGGCACGCCCCUUCCCAUCCUGGCACGCCCCGCUGCCGCACCUACAGCAGGCUCUCCAGGGGACUGUCGGUUCACCAUCUCGGGCUGCUCCAGCGCAGGCUGGCAUCCCCUAGCAGGGAUAAGGAAUGGGCUUGUGUGCAGGAAUAAGACUUAUUCAAGAUAUCUCCACGCGAUAUGGUCCAAAAGGCAGCUGGGAGUCUGGAGUGACCCUGGACUACUCUCUGGUUCACCAGGGUUACACUGUAAGUCUCCCUUCUUGGAUUUGGCUCCACCUGGCCCCUUUGGGACCCUCCAAACCCAAGCCUGUGGAUCUCCUAGGGUAAUUUCUGCCUGACUUUGGAGCCCAGGAUGAAGACAAGACAAGACGUGUUACUCAGGACAGGUCAUAGGUUUGUCAUCUGCCAAGAGAUCUGACAAAUGUGAUCUGGGUUAGUGGGUUUUCCAUCAUCUUGGGUUUGAUCAGUGUGUUUUUGUUUUUGUUUUUUGGCAUUGUUCUUUGUUUUUAACAUCUAAUGAUGUUAGAAAUGUACAGUCCUGAAACAUUAGCUUCAAUUAUUUCUCUAUUCCGAAAUAAAGGCAGAAAACCCUUUUUUUCCGAGCCUGAGAAUUUAUUUUUUAAUAGUACCCAGAUGUUUUCUGAGAGAGCAUAGUAGUAAAGAUUUCUACAAUAAUGAAGCAAACAGAGGUGAUGAAAAAUAGUGUUUAGCCUGCACUGUAUAUCCUUGUCUAUAUUUUAAAAAUAAAGUGGUCUAGUUGGGAAAAAAGCUUAAUACAGGAUAUUAAAGAAAGUCUUAAAACAAGCCCCAAAUACUUCUUUAGAGAAAAGAGAUCAUUCUUAAACACUUUUUGAAUGUUUAAUAUGAUUUAAUAACACAUUAAAAUAAUCUAAGUAUCCAGCUAAACAUAGAUUGAUCAGGAAAAUAUAUGGUCCUAUCUCCAGGGAUUUGGCUGAAAAAUCAGUACUAAAAUUCAAUGAAACAGACCCAAAUUUAUUAUAGCGGACAUAGUAUUAUCUCUGUUUUGAAACAGUAUUUAGUUAAUAUACAUUGUAUUUUUUUCUUUCUGAAGAAUGCCAUUUACGAAGUCCUUAGUGAAGAGCUAAAAAAUAAUUAAUAUAUAAACACUUCAACUUUAAGCUUUCUCAUUGUAGUUUCCUGUUGGAGUAAAUAAAAGACCUUCAUUACAAGUGAGGCCUUAUACCACAUCUUUUUUUUUUUUUUCUAAUUCUUUUGGAUGUUUUGGAACUAUUGCCCAUUAAAAAAAAAAUCUGAUUGCUAAAUCAGUUAAAAUAGAAUCCAACUAUGGUUUUUCUCUUUGCUGUGUUUUUAUUUUUUGUUACUUCUUGCAUUCUAUAUACAAACACUGUGCUUUGAUAUUUCAAAACCAUUAAGUAACAGAAAGGGGGAAUUUCCAAAAUGAGAUUUCUGCUUGCUUUCUAUGUAGGAAAAUCACAUUAUUGUUUCUGUAUUAUACACAGAAAAAAAUGUAUGGAGCUAAAAGAAUAACUGAGAUAUUGUCUGUUAUGGAAUUGAAAGUAAUAAGCCUGACAGUAGGGAAUCCCUGAGUGGCUCAGCAGUUUAGCGCUUGCCUAUGGCCCAGGGUGCGAUCCUGGAGUCCCGGGAUUGAGUCCCACGUCAGGCUCCCUGCAUGGAGCCUGCUUCUCCCUCCUCCUGUGUCUCUGCCUCUCUCUCUCUCUCUAUCAUAAAUAAAUAAAUAAAAAAUAAAUAAAUAAAUCUUAAAAAAAAAAAAAAAAGCCUGACAGUAACUUUUUUUUUUGUCCUCAAGGAGAAAUAUCAGAGAUUGGUUUCCAUCCUGAGG